UAAAAAAGACCUUGUCUCCUUGUCUCGAUGA
This 31-nucleotide non-coding RNA is filed under the name Rattus norvegicus (Norway rat). Lineage: Eukaryota; Metazoa; Chordata; Mammalia; Rodentia; Muridae. The record is from RNAcentral.